This 235-nucleotide long non-coding RNA is filed under the name Phascolarctos cinereus (koala). RNAcentral's name for it is "lncRNA (ENSPCIG00000037033.1)". Lineage: Eukaryota; Metazoa; Chordata; Mammalia; Diprotodontia; Phascolarctidae. The record is from RNAcentral.
CCAGUGGAGCAGAACACAGUUGAUGGUGUGCUUUGCCCUUUUUGUGUUUAUUUGUUUCACAGGCUACACUUUGGAGAACAAACCGCCCUGACUGAUUUAAAGUUGAAAGAUAUGCUACAUAGCAUUCUUCCAUCAUACCGGGAGAGAUGGAGUCAGUAGGAGCUGUGUCUUUUGUAUAACUGGUUGUAAGGAUGUUUUGAGUCAAAGAUGAGGCCCUGGAACUUGAGAUCAUUUC